RNAcentral lists this long non-coding RNA (1158 nucleotides) under Fukomys damarensis (Damara mole-rat). RNAcentral describes it as "lncRNA (ENSFDAG00000023650.1)". Lineage: Eukaryota; Metazoa; Chordata; Mammalia; Rodentia; Bathyergidae. The record is from RNAcentral.
CUUCACCAAUGACUAAAAAGUUCCUUUUUUCCCCUCUGUGAAUAACCACAUUAGUCCUUUUAUUGGUCAUGUGGAUUUUUAGGUUUUUAAGGUUUUUUUUCCCCAUGACGUCAGAUUCCUGAUGAUAACAGGUCUUCAUAUCUUUUGAAAAGGAUGAUUGUUUGAAAAUAUAACUGAAAUGCUUCCUUCAAUCCCCACUUCUACAUUUUUGUUCACAGGAACUAGGGUCCCAGAGGCUGAGUUCUGUCCCCUCACCUUUCCCUGGGGACUGUUAUAGACCUGGCUCCAGCUCUCUAUUUUCUACCAUAUCAUGCUAUUCCAGCGAAGAAACAUCACAGACUUUGAAACUGUUCUCUUCUCAGAAGAGCUCUCAUUAGUGGUCCCCUGGAGAGAAAAAGUGAUUUUAAAAAGUUACUAAUUUGGAAGCCACCUUGUGGUUUUGAAUACUAAAAUCUGGCCUAAGAUAACUACAGGAAACAUAUAUGAGUGCUGGAAGGGGCAGAGGCCCAGAAGCAACCUGAGGGGCCUGAGAACAGAAUUCUCCAAGGUUUGUUGGGGCUAGCUCACCAUUCAGGUGUGUAGACUGUACCUGCUCUGGAUAGCAUCACCAGCUCUGUCAGACAUUGGCCAUGCCCACUGAAGUCUCCUUGGGGACUCUACCCACAGCUCCCUGAAGACCUGGGAAGGGAGAAAGAACAAGCACAAAGAUUUCCAGUCUGUGAAGCAAAAGCAAGACACCGUCACCAGAAGGAACACCGUGACCCCUUGAAGCCAGCCAUGUAUGAUAGGCACAUGGGUGCAGGAAACCCUUCUUCCCACCUCCCUGAAUCCGGCCCUGGAGUUAGAAGCCAGCCUGACCUCCACCCAGCCCGGCCACCCAAAGAAUGCAGAACUUUAAAAAGUGAAAUGACUUACUUUCCAAACUGAGCUACAGAUUCAAUAUAAUCCACAUCAAAUGCCAAAAAUUUAUGUUUUAGAAACUGACAACCUGCUCUAUAUGGAAAUACAAAGGCCCAAGGACAGUAAGAUAUUAGUCAAGAACAAAAUUGGAGUUUCUAUACUAUCAGAUAUCAAGGUUUACUAUAAACACACAAUGAGGAUGAGAGGGUAUUUAUAAAAGAACAGAAAAACAGUGAAUGGAAUGAAUAAACAGUCCAG